This 426-nucleotide long non-coding RNA is filed under the name Numida meleagris (helmeted guineafowl). RNAcentral describes it as "lncRNA (ENSNMEG00000003644.1)". The record is from RNAcentral. Lineage: Eukaryota; Metazoa; Chordata; Aves; Galliformes; Numididae.
GGGAGCAGUUGUGCAGCCCCAGUGCAGCCACAUCAUGGGGCCAUCGCUGUCCUGUAAUCAGCAUCCAUGGCCAAGGUCCCACGCGAGGCAGAGAGAAAAGGAAUGUGAGCAGCUACUUGGCACCGGCAGGAUGGAAUGACUGUGCUGGAGGAGCUCCGGGAGAAGGAAAAAACCACAUCAAGGCUGUCUGCCUUCCUCAUCCUGAAUUACAGCACCCAGAGAGGAAUACGCCAGGGGUUGGGACAUGGUCAGCAUGUUCUGCAGAUGUUCUGAACGUGAGCGUUGCCAUCUUCUCUGUUGCCAUACACAAAGCUGCAAUCAUCUUGUCCAUACAAAGGGAAACCACCAAAGCCUCAUGCUCUGGAGAGUCCCUCUGCUUCCAUGCAGGUAUGGUUAGGUCCCUGUGACCCCAAAUCCACACUCUCC